RNA transcript from Oxyura jamaicensis (ruddy duck), 4978 nucleotides. It is a transcript of the gene named cytochrome P450 7B1, with no coding region annotated. NCBI's taxonomy places the organism in Eukaryota, Metazoa, Chordata, Aves, Anseriformes, Anatidae. The record is from RefSeq and is a predicted model, not a curated record. The transcript is spliced from 7 exons.
GCGGCCAAACCCGGCCCCCCGGGCUCGCUGGUGGGCGGGGAGGGCCGGCCGGCCGCGCUCCGCUCCGGCACGGAGCGGGAGGACGGGCGAAACUUUGCUCCGCGGCCCCAGCGGAGGCGAUGGGCCCCGACGCGCUGCCGCUCGGCGCCUGCGGCGGGGCGGCCGCCGCCGCCGCCCUGCUCCUCUGGGCCGUCUGCGUGCUCUGCAGGAGGAAAAGGAAGACUGGAGAGCCCCCACUAAUAAAUGGCUGGAUUCCUUACCUAGGGAAGGCUUUGAUUUUUAGAAAAGAUGCUUACAAAUUCUUACUGGAUCAGCAAAAGAAACUUGGAGAUAUUUUCACUGUACAUAUUGCUGGCAGAUAUAUUACCUUUAUCAUGGACCCAUUUCAAUAUGUUUACGUCAUCCGAAAUAGCAAGCAACUUGAGUUCCAUGAAUUUGCUAAUAAGAUGGCUUCCAAAACUUUUGACUACCCAGCAUUGUCAAAAGCAAAAUUCCCCGAUCUCAAGGAAAACCUGCACAGAAUCUACCAGUAUCUACAAGGCAAGCCUUUGGACAUAAUUUCUGACCACAUGAUGAAAAAUCUCCAGGAUAUAUUUGAAUGGAAAUGCUCACAAGCAACAGAUUGGGAAACAGAAAAAAUGUACAAAUUCUGCUGCUCUGUAAUGUUUGAAGCCAGUUUUGUAACACUAUAUGGAAGAGUUCCUGCUGCAGAUGGCCACAAAGUUAUUAGUGAAAUCAGAGACAAAUUUAUCAAGUUUGAUGCCAGCUUUCCCUAUUUAGCUGCAAACAUACCAAUUGAGUUGCUAGGAGCUACCAAGAAGGUUCGAAAGGAGCUUAUACAUCAUUUUUUACUUCAGAACAUGACAAAAUGGCUGGGAGGGUCAAAAGUGGUCCAAGCCAGACAAGAUAUAUUUGAGAAAUAUGAGCUGCUUGGAGAUUAUGACAAAGCAGCACAUCAUUUUGCCUUCCUGUGGGCCUCUGUGGGAAACACGAUUCCAGCUACAUUCUGGGCCAUGUAUUAUCUGCUGCGGCACCCAGAAGCUCUUGCAGCGGUGCGUGACGAGAUUGACCAUUUGCUGCAGUCAACAGGUCAGAAGAGAGGGCCCACGUAUAACAUCCACCUCACCAGAGAACAAUUGGACAACCUGGUCUACCUGGAAAGCGCCUUAAACGAGAGUUUACGGAUGUGCUCGUCUUCCAUGAACAUUCGCAUCAGCCAGGAGGAUUUUGUCCUCAAGCUUGAAGGGGAUCAGGAAGUCAGUCUGAGGAAAGGAGACUGGAUAGCCCUUUACCCUCAGAUUUUGCACAUGGACCCCGAGGUCUAUGAAGAUCCUAAGGAGUAUAAGUUUGAUCGUUACAUAGAGAAUGGCAAGAAGAAAACCACAUUCUUCAAGGCAGGAAGAAAACUGAAGUAUUUCCUAAUGCCUUUUGGCUCUGGGAUCAGCAUGUGUCCAGGGAGGUUCCUGGCGAUGAAUGAGAUGAAGAUGUUUCUUUUCUUACUUUUAGCUCAUUUUGAUGUAGAACUAGUGGAAAGCAAAGCUGUCAGACUUGAUAACAGUCGUAUGGGCCUUGGUAUCCUUCUGCCAGACGUUGAUAUUGCCUUUCGUUACAAGCUAAGGUCCCUAAAAAAGUGAGCGGCUGCCUGUGUGUCUUCUACUAAUCUCAGUGUUUGCUCUGUUUCCUCACUCAACCUUGUAUUUUUGGGAAUGUUUGCUUUUACCCUCUCUGUUUUCACCUCCUCCUUAGUUUUUUUCUGAGGAGCAAAGCCCUUAGGCUAGAGGUAGAUGUCAGACAUGGGAACAAGCAACCCUGCCCAAGUUGUGAGUAGUGAGGUGAGGUGAGGUGACGAGCAUUUGUCUGGGUAAAUAGUCCCUAUGAGAAGGACCCCUAUACUCUUGGCCAUGAGUUUUGUAGGUUUUAGAGGGAGGAUGACAUGAAGAUGAAUCCAGGCCAUUAUUCAGGAAAUGGGCUCAACAGACAUACAUUGGGAAUUCCUCAGACUCCUUGGAAACCUGACAAUCCAGAUACACUGUGAGCAUGCUGUUAGAGCCAAAAGGCCUCCUACCAUAGCUGUGUCAUGAGGUUCCCCCUUGUUAGAUGGAGAGGUCCCACAAACCCACCAUCUGCAAGCAUCACUGCAUCUGCUUGUAGAAGAACAAUAGCAACAAAGGGGGAACUUAAUUCUAGAUGGUGAAAGGAUAUUUAGAGAUAAUUGUUCUAAUUUUUUAUUUACUCUGUUCCCUUUAUGAUCCUGAAACCCAAAAAAAGCACCUGACACUCUACUUUGUGCAAAAGACACAUUGCUCUGAAAACUUCAGCUUGACUUGUCUCUUGUCUUUUCCCAGUGGAGCAUCAGAGCCACUAGCUCAUUUUGGGAAUAUUGAGCUGCAAUCUACUGUUCCUCAAUCUUCCAUGUCUUCCAAAAUCAGAAAUUUGACUUGUCUCUUAAGCACUUGAUAGCCUAUGGAUGGAAACUGCUACAUACAUAAUAAGGUUUAGAAUUAUUUAUUGUUAUUUGUGUAGGAGACUGUUUAGUUAUUCAUAUAAAGCACAUACCUUAAAUAAGCAUUAGUAGAAAGUCUUUCAAAAAUUGGCACAGCCACAUUCCAAAUCCUCUGAGGAGAAAAUUGUGUUUUUGUGAGAUAUAUUGGAUUAACAUUUUCUCUUCAUAUAUAAUAUCAAUAGCAUCUACAGUGUUGGAGUACACUUAUAUUAACUGGGCUUUGCAGUUGAUUAAAUGCCUUAACUUUGCUUCAACAUUUAAUCAACAGCAAAAGCUGAUUAUUACUUUGUGCCACAGAAUAAAAUCUGUUUUUAUGGAGAGAUUCCUGUACUCAAGUUACUUACUGCUGUACUUACUCGGUAGGAGCUAUUCUGUACUCAGCCAUAGCUCAUAAUCCAGUUUGGACAUUAGAGCCUAUUUUAUUGAGAGAGGAAAUGCUGAUAUCAUUAUACUGUUGACUAUAUUACAUUAUUGCUUAAGUGUAAGCUGUAAAAUGUCUCAUGCAACAGUUAUGAUAAAUCUUUCCUUGGCAUCCAACUUUGAAACAAACCUGAAGCAACUGCGAAAAUAACAGUAGGUAUUUGUUUUAAACACGAGAUUUUUUUUAUAAUUGUCUUCUAUUUUUAGGAUUUUGAAUGAGAAUAUCACAGGCUGCUGCAUAAUUUAGUAGGACAUGAAAGGACUGUGCCAAAAGUACAUGCAAAUCAUUAGUAAUUUCAGAUUAAUUGUUGAUCAGUUUGUAUAGUAUCUGUUAUGAAAUUAAAAGAAGAUAAUUGUCUCCAAACUAGCAAAUUAAAACCAUAGGCCUUACUUCCUUCUUUAAAAAAAUAAAAAAGAGUCUUUCCCAGGAGCCGAAGGAAGGCUCCAUGAAGGCACUCAGAGGCUUUGCACGGGGGUUGGAGACCACACCUUGCACCACACAGGAGGCCUUGCAUUUUACUGGGUUAAGGUCAGUUGCUCUUUUAGCUCAGGAACCAGAAGGAUCAAACUUAAGACAAAGCAGGGCCUGCACAGCUUGUUCUAGAACUGUGUCCCUGGUAGACCCAUGCUCCCGGUAGAUGACUCUAAGGUAGGGCCUGCAUACAUUUGUGUACCCCAUCUGCAGUUGAGGUAAGCUUCACCCCCUCUUCAAAGUCAUGAGUGUUAGAGCAGGAAAGAGGAACGUUAGGCCUGGUUGGUCUUCUCCCAUAUACACUGCAAUUAAACAGGUGACUCUGAGAGUAAGCAGCUGGUCUGACCAGGAAUGACCUGGUCUCCACAAAGCAGGGAGCGAAAACCCAUGGUAUUCUUGGUCAGUAAGCCAGAGCAGUUAAAUGAGGUGAGCCUGCCACAUUUCUCGAAGCCCCAGCUGGAGCCAAGCUGGCCACAAUGUUCUGCCUGUGGUAGAGUGACAGCUUUGCACAUUUGCUUCAUGACAUAGGGAGCAAAAUGGUUUUUGAUCAUCACCUAGGAGCUCUUAGUGUUGGUCACUUGGGCACCAUAGUGCUGUUGGCAAGCAUUCAGUUGGGUGGGGUGGAGGGAGGUGGUGGGACUUUUUGCUGCCUUGUCCCUCCUUUCCAGUGCAAAAGGGGGCUGCCCAACGGGCCCAGCAGUGCCGGCUCACCUUCCCCAGCCGACCCCAUGGGCACAAGACCAGCUGGGAGGGCUACAGGGGGGCCUGGCUUCCCUCUGCUCUUCCUGGAGGGAAAUGGUGUGCCCAUUGCUCAGUUUUAAAAGUCAUACAGGUGGUCUGUACCAGCCUCGACUGUAAGCUGUCACUGCCUAUUGGCUAUACUUAUACUAUCUUCUGCUGUUAAGAAAAAAUAUUUUUUUUCUGAUAUAAAAUAGGUUUUCUAAGUCAACAUGGCCCUUUGAAGCAUGCAAGAAGAAAAGUGAAUUUAUUGUGAACUAAUAUGAAUACUAAAAUGUGAUUUUUUUUUACUAUUAUCAUUUUAAUUUAUGGUUUGUUCUCCAUUUUCAUGUUGCCACUGCAUACUGCUGUAACCUCUCAUAAACUUACUAAACUGCUAUAUUUCUCCAAAGACCACACUGCUGCAUGUGUACCUGUUUGCAAAUUUGACUUCCACGUCUCUGCAAUAUGUCCUAAUGUACUAAUAUGAGAGUUGUUCUUCAGUUUACGGUUUUAAGCCCAUCGCAUCUCACUGGUUUUGGCAUUGCUAUUUUUAUGAGUAAUUGCUGGUCUAUGAAUUUCACCUGUAGAAUUAUCAAUGAUCUUUUAUUUCAUCGUCAUUGAACUUUCUGACAUUCAAAAGGUUGUGAAUUGCUCUUAAUUGUGCAAACUGACAUUUUGUAUAUAGAUGAACAAUGGUUAAGUUCUACUUUAAUAGUUAAUAUCCAUCAUUAGAUCGAAUAAGGUAUAUUGUGAAUUUCUGAGCAAGAAAAUUGAAACUUUAUUAUUUUAGUAAUCUAACAUCUUAAGUGAAUUUUGUAUUUCAAGGAUACAAUAAAAAUGAAUAUAUCUAUUUUAAUACUGAA